This is a long non-coding RNA of Populus euphratica (Euphrates poplar), 571 nucleotides long. RefSeq lists it as uncharacterized. Lineage: Eukaryota; Viridiplantae; Streptophyta; Magnoliopsida; Malpighiales; Salicaceae. The transcript has 2 exons. The record is from RefSeq and is a predicted model, not a curated record.
UAGGCACGAAGCGGCCUUCUAAUUGAAUGGCAACGGCUUCGACUUUGAAAUCGUCUUCGUUCUCAGUUUUUCCAUCUGAAACAAUUUUCCUUUAUAAAGAUACGUGAUCAAGGAGUCCAUGUUUGCUUAUCAUAUAUACGUAUGUUCUUAACAAACGUGCUUUUUAUUACAAGAAAAAUGGCUUCUAAGAAAUUUGUGUGUUCUUGGAAUGUUUUCUUGAUUGUCAUGCUCCUCCUGGUCUCUGCAAUGGGAUCAAGGGAUCUGCCAAAGACCACCGUGCCUCGUAUGACUCGCGAAAAGGCUUAGCAUCCCAGGAUACUUCAGGGAUGGAAGAGUCCUAGAGGAGGAGUUCCUAGGGAUGGCCAUUACUAGGCUUCCCUUCCUAGGGUUCAAUUAAUUAUACGUUAAGAGAGAAAUAAAUGGCUGAAGCUAAUAUCUUUUUUUUUUUAAUAAAAAUGUAGCAAAAUAUGUCUCUCCUACCAGCUAAGAUUUAUUAACUUGUUAUGAUUUUAUGGUUAAUCUUAACAUCAACGUACAGAUCAGACCAUGGUAUAAAACCAGUUCUUAAUGA